This is a long non-coding RNA of Zophobas morio, 380 nucleotides long. RefSeq lists it as uncharacterized. The record is from RefSeq and is a predicted model, not a curated record. The transcript is spliced from 4 exons. Lineage: Eukaryota; Metazoa; Arthropoda; Insecta; Coleoptera; Tenebrionidae.
AUGGCUUUUUUAUGGGAAGAGAAUCAGCUCCAUACCCGUUCUUGCAAAAAUUCAGCUGAGUCGCGUUGGACAAUCUUCUCUAUGAAACUGAGGGAAACACUACCUUUUCCGCAUCUACAGAACUUUGAAAAGUUUUUAAGUAACUGCUUAGCCUUCACUCGGCACUUAAGCAAGAUUUCAGUACUUUAUAACUUUACAAAAAUAUUGGAGCUUGAAAAGAAAGUGGCUACUUCUUAUAAAACAAACUUUUGUUUGAACCAACAAAGUCAUAGCUUUCUCUCACUCUUUCUUCCCUCCGAAAGUAAAGACCUUCAGUCACCAUCCGGACUUUUCUCUCUGAAAGACACAGAGAUGAGGGAACUUCACUUAACUUCUACUUU